GAUGAACGCUGGCGGCGUGCCUAAUACAUGCAAGUCGAGCGAACAGACGAGGAGCUUGCUCCUCUGACGUUAGCGGCGGACGGGUGAGUAACACGUGGAUAACCUACCUAUAAGACUGGGAUAACUUCGGGAAACCGGAGCUAAUACCGGAUAAUAUAUUGAACCGCAUGGUUCAAUAGUGAAAGACGGUUUUGCUGUCACUUAUAGAUGGAUCCGCGCCGCAUUAGCUAGUUGGUAAGGUAACGGCUUACCAAGGCAACGAUGCGUAGCCGACCUGAGAGGGGGGUUCGCCAAACCUGGACCGGAAACAGGUCCAGACCUCCUAGGGGGGGAAGAAGGGGGGAAUUUGCAGAAAGGGGGGAAAGCUUGACGGGGCAACGCCGGUGGGUGAAAGAAGGUUUUGGGUUGGAAAACCCUUUUUUUUGGAAAAAAAAAAAUGUGUAUAAAACCCUGCAGUUCUGAGGGGACCCAAAUAAGAAGCCCCGGGUAACUUCGUG
RNAcentral lists this ribosomal RNA (497 nucleotides) under uncultured bacterium. RNAcentral's name for it is "partial 16S ribosomal RNA". It matches the Rfam family "Bacterial small subunit ribosomal RNA", at positions 28 to 507 of the family's 1533-position model. The record is from RNAcentral.